Molecule: long non-coding RNA, 291 nt
Organism: Phragmites australis (common reed)
Lineage: Eukaryota; Viridiplantae; Streptophyta; Magnoliopsida; Poales; Poaceae
Exons: 2
Source: RefSeq, a predicted model, not a curated record
CCUAGCCGCCGCUGGAACAUGGAAGACCUCCUUCGUUGUUCGUUGAUUCAUCUGCGCGCCGAAUUGACCCAGGAAUCUACCAGCUUGUGGACAAGAAUGUGGUUUUGGACUGGAUUCAAUGGAAAUGACGACCAGAAGGAAGCAUAAUAAAAUUGCAAAUCUAAGGGAACGAACAAUCCCUUCACAUGGCCUGAUUAUUGUAAUAGACAGCAUUGGCUAGGGACGAUAAUUUAUAGGAGCUUGAUGCUCAUGAUUUUAAUUAUUAACCAUUCCAAUCUUGCUAAAAUGCUA